UACGUAGGUGGCGAGCGUUGUCCGGAUUUACUGGGCGUAAAGGGCUUGUAGGCGGUUCGUUAAGUCUGGUGUGAAAUCUCCCGGCUCAACUGGGAGAGGUCAUUGGAAACUGGCGGACUAGAGACGGGUAGAGGAAAGCAGAAUUCCCGGUGUAGCGGUGAAAUGCGUAGAGAUGUGGAGGAACACCAGUGGCGAAGGCGACUCUUUGGCCUGUAACUGACGCUGAGGCGCGAAAGCGUGGGGAGCAAACAGG
Molecule: ribosomal RNA, 253 nt
Filed under: uncultured bacterium
Lineage: Bacteria
Description: partial 16S ribosomal RNA
Rfam family: Bacterial small subunit ribosomal RNA
Source: RNAcentral